This 617-nucleotide ribosomal RNA is filed under the name Corynebacterium afermentans subsp. afermentans. Its description in RNAcentral is "bacterial SSU rRNA". It matches the Rfam family "Bacterial small subunit ribosomal RNA", at positions 73 to 703 of the family's 1533-position model. The record is from RNAcentral. Lineage: Bacteria; Bacillati; Actinomycetota; Actinomycetes; Mycobacteriales; Corynebacteriaceae.
CCAGUGCUUGCACUGGUACUCGAGUGGCGAACGGGUGAGUAACACGUGGGUGAUCUGCCCUGCACUUCGGGAUAAGCCUGGGAAACUGGGUCUAAUACCGGAUAGGACCACAUUUUGGAUGGUGUGGUGGAAAGUUUUUCGGUGUGGGAUGAGCUCGCGGCCUAUCAGCUUGUUGGUGGGGUAAUGGCCUACCAAGGCGUCGACGGGUAGCCGGCCUGAGAGGGUGUACGGCCACAUUGGGACUGAGAUACGGCCCAAACUCCUACGGGAGGCAGCAGUGGGGAAUAUUGCACAAUGGGCGCAAGCCUGAUGCAGCGACCCCGCGUGGGGGAUGACGGCCUUCGGGUUGUAAACUCCUUUCGCUAGGGACGAAGCUUAUUUGUGACGGUACCUGGAGAAGAAGCACCGGCUAACUACGUGCCAGCAGCCGCGGUAAUACGUAGGGUGCGAGCGUUGUCCGGAAUUACUGGGCGUAAAGAGCUCGUAGGUGGUUUGUCGCGUCGUUUGUGUAAGCCCGCAGCUUAACUGCGGGACUGCAGGCGAUACGGGCAUAACUUGAGUGCUGUAGGGGAGACUGGAAUUCCUGGUGUAGCGGUGGAAUGCGCAGAUAUCAGGAG